Molecule: ribosomal RNA, 292 nt
Filed under: uncultured prokaryote
Description: partial 16S ribosomal RNA
Rfam family: Bacterial small subunit ribosomal RNA
Source: RNAcentral
UGAGGAAUAUUGGACAAUGGAUGGAAAUCUGAUCCAGCCAUGCCGCGUGCAGGAAGACGGCCCUAUGGGUUGUAAACUGCUUUUGUAUGGGAGCAAUAAGGUCUAUGCGUAGACUGAUGAGAGUACCAUACGAAUAAGCAUCGGCUAACUACGUGCCAGCAGCCGCGGUAAUACGGGGGAUGCAAGCGUAAUCCGGAUUUAUGGGGUUUAAAGGGUGCGUAGGCGGUUUGAUAAGUCAGCGGUGAAAUAUUUCAGCUUAACUGAAAGGGUGCCGUUGAUACUGUCAGGCUUG